UUAAAAUUAGUUAAAAUUAUAACAUAGGUUUGUCAGGCCUAAAUUAUCAAUAUUGAUAUUUUAAA
Molecule: transfer RNA, 65 nt
Filed under: Bitias brevis
Lineage: Eukaryota; Metazoa; Arthropoda; Malacostraca; Decapoda; Pandalidae
Description: tRNA-Asp
Source: RNAcentral